RNAcentral lists this ribosomal RNA (3073 nucleotides) under Campylobacter jejuni. RNAcentral describes it as "23S ribosomal RNA". It matches the Rfam family "Bacterial large subunit ribosomal RNA". Lineage: Bacteria; Pseudomonadati; Campylobacterota; Epsilonproteobacteria; Campylobacterales; Campylobacteraceae. The record is from RNAcentral.
UAAAAAAAGGUAAGCUACUAAGAGCGAAUGGUGGAUGCCUUGACUGGUAAAGGCGAUGAAGGACGUACUAGACUGCGAUAAGCUACGGGGAGCUGUCAAGAAGCUUUGAUCCGUAGAUUUCCGAAUGGGGCAACCCAAUGUAUAGAGAUAUACAUUACCUAUAUAGGAGCGAACGAGGGGAAUUGAAACAUCUUAGUACCCUCAGGAAAAGAAAUCAAUAGAGAUUGCGUCAGUAGCGGCGAGCGAAAGCGCAAGAGGGCAAACCCAGUGCUUGCACUGGGGGUUGUAGGACUGCAAUGUGCAAGAGCUGAGUUUAGCAGAACAUUCUGGAAAGUAUAGCCAUAGAGGGUGAUAGUCCCGUAUGCGAAAAACAAAGCUUAGCUAGCAGUAUCCUGAGUAGGGCGGGACACGAGGAAUCCUGUCUGAAUCCGGGUCGACCACGAUCCAACCCUAAAUACUAAUACCAGAUCUAUAGUGCACAAGUACCGUGAGGGAAAGGUGAAAAGAACUGAGGUGAUCAGAGUGAAAUAGAACCUGAAACCAUUUGCUUACAAUCAUUCAGAGCACUAUGUAGCAAUACAGUGUGAUGGACUGCCUUUUGCAUAAUGAGCCUGCGAGUUGUGGUGUCUGGCAAGGUUAAGCAAACGCGAAGCCGUAGCGAAAGCGAGUCUGAAUAGGGCGCUUAGUCAGAUGCUGCAGACCCGAAACGAAGUGAUCUAUCCAUGAGCAAGUUGAAGCUAGUGUAAGAACUAGUGGAGGACUGAACCCAUAGGCGUUGAAAAGCCCCGGGAUGACUUGUGGAUAGGGGUGAAAGGCCAAUCAAACUUCGUGAUAGCUGGUUCUCUCCGAAAUAUAUUUAGGUAUAGCGUUGUGUCGUAAUAUAAGGGGGUAGAGCACUGAAUGGGCUAGGGCAUACACCAAUGUACCAAACCCUAUCAAACUCCGAAUACCUUAUAUGUAAUCACAGCAGUCAGGCGGCGAGUGAUAAAAUCCGUCGUCAAGAGGGAAACAACCCAGACUACCAGCUAAGGUCCCUAAAUCUUACUUAAGUGGAAAACGAUGUGAAGUUACUUAAACAACCAGGAGGUUGGCUUAGAAGCAGCCAUCCUUUAAAGAAAGCGUAAUAGCUCACUGGUCUAGUGAUUUUGCGCGGAAAAUAUAACGGGGCUAAAGUAAGUACCGAAGCUGUAGACUUGCACACAACUUAGAUUAUUUAAGUUUAGAAUAUGAGAAACUAAGUUAUAUGUUUAGUUAUAUUUUUACUGAUUUUUAUAGAGUAAAGAUAGAAAUAAAACUUAGUAAAAUCAGUAAAAAUAUUCUUAGGCUAAAGUUAAGUAGUUUAAGUUGUGUGCAAGUGGUAGGAGAGCGUUCUAUUUGCGUCGAAGGUAUACCGGUAAGGAGUGCUGGAGCGAAUAGAAGUGAGCAUGCAGGCAUGAGUAGCGAUAAUUAAUGUGAGAAUCAUUAACGCCGUAAACCCAAGGUUUCCUACGCGAUGCUCGUCAUCGUAGGGUUAGUCGGGUCCUAAGUCGAGUCCGAAAGGGGUAGACGAUGGCAAAUUGGUUAAUAUUCCAAUACCAACAUUAGUGUGCGAUGGAAGGACGCUUAGGGCUAAGGGGGCUAGCGGAUGGAAGUGCUAGUCUAAGGUUGUAGGAGGUUAUACAGGCAAAUCCGUAUAACAAUACUCCGAGAACUGAAAGGCUUUUUGAAGUCUUCGGAUGGAUAGAAGAACCCCUGAUGCCGUCGAGCCAAGAAAAGUUUCUAAGUUUAGCUAAUGUUGCCCGUACCGUAAACCGACACAGGUGGGUGGGAUGAGUAUUCUAAGGCGCGUGGAAGAACUCUCUUUAAGGAACUCUGCAAAAUAGCACCGUAUCUUCGGUAUAAGGUGUGGUUAGCUUCGUACUAGGAUUUACUCCGAAAGCGAAGAAACUUACAACAAAGAGUCCCUCCCGACUGUUUACCAAAAACACAGCACUCUGCUAACUCGUAAGAGGAUGUAUAGGGUGUGACGCCUGCCCGGUGCUCGAAGGUUAAUUGAUGGGGUUAGCAUUAGCGAAGCUCUUGAUCGAAGCCCGAGUAAACGGCGGCCGUAACUAUAACGGUCCUAAGGUAGCGAAAUUCCUUGUCGGUUAAAUACCGACCUGCAUGAAUGGCGUAACGAGAUGGGAGCUGUCUCAAAGAGGGAUCCAGUGAAAUUGUAGUGGAGGUGAAAAUUCCUCCUACCCGCGGCAAGACGGAAAGACCCCGUGGACCUUUACUACAGCUUGACACUGCUACUUGGAUAAGAAUGUGCAGGAUAGGUGGGAGGCUUUGAGUAUAUGACGCCAGUUGUAUAUGAGCCAUUGUUGAGAUACCACUCUUUCUUAUUUGGGUAGCUAACCAGCUUGAGUUAUCCUCAAGUGGGACAAUGUCUGGUGGGUAGUUUGACUGGGGCGGUCGCCUCCCAAAUAAUAACGGAGGCUUACAAAGGUUGGCUCAGAACGGUUGGAAAUCGUUCGUAGAGUAUAAAGGUAUAAGCCAGCUUAACUGCAAGACAUACAAGUCAAGCAGAGACGAAAGUCGGUCUUAGUGAUCCGGUGGUUCUGUGUGGAAGGGCCAUCGCUCAAAGGAUAAAAGGUACCCCGGGGAUAACAGGCUGAUCUCCCCCAAGAGCUCACAUCGACGGGGAGGUUUGGCACCUCGAUGUCGGCUCAUCGCAUCCUGGGGCUGGAGCAGGUCCCAAGGGUAUGGCUGUUCGCCAUUUAAAGCGGUACGCGAGCUGGGUUCAGAACGUCGUGAGACAGUUCGGUCCCUAUCUGCCGUGGGCGUAAGAAGAUUGAAGAGAUUUGACCCUAGUACGAGAGGACCGGGUUGAACAAACCACUGGUGUAGCUGUUGUUCUGCCAAGAGCAUCGCAGCGUAGCUAAGUUUGGAAAGGAUAAACGCUGAAAGCAUCUAAGCGUGAAGCCAACUCUAAGAUGAAUCUUCUCUAAGCUCUCUAGAAGACUACUAGUUUGAUAGGCUGGGUGUGUAAUGGAUGAAAGUCCUUUAGCUGACCAGUACUAAUAGAGCGUUUGGCUUAUCUUUAAUAAAGCAU